UCCUCCGUGGCGCAAUUGGCUAGCGCGUCUGACUGUUAAGAGCAUCUUUAAGAUACUUGGCUAUCAGGAGGUUGACAGUUCAAGCCUGUCCGGGGGAG
Molecule: transfer RNA, 98 nt
Filed under: Aplosporella prunicola CBS 121167
Lineage: Eukaryota; Fungi; Ascomycota; Dothideomycetes; Botryosphaeriales; Aplosporellaceae
Rfam family: tRNA
About the family: Transfer RNA (tRNA) molecules are approximately 80 nucleotides in length. Their secondary structure includes four short double-helical elements and three loops (D, anti-codon, and T loops). Further hydrogen bonds mediate the characteristic L-shaped molecular structure. tRNAs have two regions of fundamental functional importance: the anti-codon, which is responsible for specific mRNA codon recognition, and the 3' end, to which the tRNAs corresponding amino acid is attached (by aminoacyl-tRNA synthetases). tRNAs cope with the degeneracy of the genetic code in two manners: having more than one tRNA (with a specific anti-codon) for a particular amino acid; and 'wobble' base-pairing, i.e. permitting non-standard base-pairing at the 3rd anti-codon position.
Source: Rfam by way of RNAcentral